This is a long non-coding RNA of Lynx canadensis (Canada lynx), 1882 nucleotides long. RefSeq lists it as uncharacterized. Lineage: Eukaryota; Metazoa; Chordata; Mammalia; Carnivora; Felidae. The transcript is spliced from 3 exons. The record is from RefSeq and is a predicted model, not a curated record.
UGCAGACCUAUUGCAUCAGACAAAAAAAAAAAAAAGAGUCACAUGUGCUUGACAGCUUCCGGCCAAUCAGUGACUACUCCAGUUAAUCCAGGCAGAGGUUGAUAGGCAGAGGGUUCUCUGGUUUUAUUUAGCUUCACGAAAGAUGCCCGGAUGAGUUCCAGGUUCUAGACCAACUCUGCUAACGUCUUUUCCGGAAAACUUGCACAUAUCACAAUUAAACAGCCUUAAUAGUUACAAGCUUGUUCUUGCCUCACCUCGCUUCUCUCCCCAUGUCCGGUCAACUACGGAAAAGUCUUUCCUCGAUUCUUACAGGGUAGAGACCCUUUAGUGCAUCUUUAUCUCCACGGAACCCAGCGCAAUGCCUUACACGUGGAGAAACUGACAACCCUACCUCCAGCUUGAGGCUGCCCACUCCCUUCUAUCAGAGAAACACAGUAACAAAGGAAGUUCAUGUUGCCAUCCUUGGACAAUGAAGGAGGAACCAUCUAAAAAUAACAUGGGUCAGGAAAAGCUGCCAGGAUGGGGGGUUGGGGGGGGAUGACUUUGAUCCCACCUCUCCCUCAGAAUUGGAAUGAGGUGUCCAUUCUCCUACCACACUGUGUGGUUUGGGGUAUUACAUUUUAUGUGGAAUUGUUAACCUCAGCACUAAAAUGGAGUUCGUUUAUUUCCUAAAUUCUCCUUGAAUAGCUCUUAAAUUAUCCAUAAACACUUGUAUAUGCAACCCUACGUCAGUUUUUCUGUCUCUUCAAUAAGGCAUUGUUGCUCUGUGGUUCUCAAUUGUCUUCUUUAAGGUUUAGACCAAGUCUUCUUGCCUAGUCACCUGUUUCACUUCUUUGUCAGUGAUUGGGAAACCCUUAAAAUCAUUCACGUAUUUCCCCCCACACACUUUCAAUCUUGGUCAUGUCUGUUGUUUGAUGCAUUGGAAUACUACACAAUAUAUGGUUGAAUUCAUGUAAGUUAACUGUGGUAUUCCCAUGUCAUUGUUUCUUCACCAUGAAGUCCUCAGUGGGUGAGCUAGGGAAAGUUUCACAGCGGGGCGAUUUUGAAGGCUGGGUGGGGGUCUAGCAGGUUAAAAGGAAGGGGUGAAGGCAGAGGCAUAGGCCAAAACAGGGAGGCAUGAAAGAGCUUAUAAGUAAGGGGCAGUUAAAAGUUGUGUGGUUAGAGUAGAAGCAAUGUGGGCAGAAAGGGGCAGGUAGGCUGUUAGGGAUUUACAUGCCACAUUAGUAAUUCUGUUGGAGACACAGUUUCUUCAUUUAUUAUAAUGGGGAUAGUACCUGCCUCUAGUUUAGACUUUAUGCUUAUAAGCAGGGGUGAUAUUUAAAUAUUUAACCAUCAGUACAACCAGGUACAACUCAGUCUGACAGAAACAACCAGCUGAGGGAAAUCUUUUUGGGGGGUUAAGUGCCCUCAACUAGAGUGAAGGAAAGCACUAAAGCAGGAAAAUCCGGCUACUACUAGAAAUGGUAGGUCCUGAUGUCUUCUAGGAUUUUGUCCAUAUCUGCUCUGUAAGAAUCCAUGCCACACCCAAAGCAACGAAUUUUGUCUUCCUACAUAUGUUGUUCUGUGACUGGCCUCAGUGUCACCAGAGAGAAAACUGAACUGGAAAGGAAGGGAGGGGACAUGCUAAGUGUUUUACGUGUUCUCCCUUUGAUCCUCACCCAAUUUGGGGAGUGAAGGCAUCAUUAGAUGCGUUUUAUUACCGCGGAAACAGGCUUUGGUUGUUGCUGAUUCCUGAACAGGUGGUGAGAGCCUUUCUAGGAUAGGUCCCUAUUGUUCUGAAGCAUGCUCAUUUCUGUCACUGCAGGGUUCCAGAAUCAUCCUCAUCUUCAGUUUGUUUGUUUAUUUAUUUAAUUUAUUUUUUAAGAGAGAGAGAGUGUGAGCA